RNAcentral lists this transfer RNA (75 nucleotides) under Clostridiales bacterium. RNAcentral's name for it is "tRNA-Glu". It matches the Rfam family "tRNA". From Rfam's summary of the family: Transfer RNA (tRNA) molecules are approximately 80 nucleotides in length. Their secondary structure includes four short double-helical elements and three loops (D, anti-codon, and T loops). The record is from RNAcentral. Lineage: Bacteria; Bacillati; Bacillota; Clostridia; Eubacteriales.
GGCCCCAUGGUCAAGCGGUUAAGACAUCACCCUUUCACGGUGAAAUCAUGGGUUCGAGUCCCGUUGGGGUCACCA